AUCAACACACCAGUAAGUGCCACA
This 24-nucleotide non-coding RNA is filed under the name Arabidopsis thaliana (thale cress). The record is from RNAcentral. Lineage: Eukaryota; Viridiplantae; Streptophyta; Magnoliopsida; Brassicales; Brassicaceae.